Molecule: ribosomal RNA, 501 nt
Filed under: uncultured bacterium
Lineage: Bacteria
Description: partial 16S ribosomal RNA
Rfam family: Bacterial small subunit ribosomal RNA
Source: RNAcentral
AUUGAACGCUGGCGGCAGGCUUAACACAUGCAAGUCGAACGGAGAUGAGGUGCUUGCACCUUAUCUUAGCGGCGGACGGGUGAGUAAUGCUUAGGAAUCUGCCUAUUAGUGGGGGACAACAUUCCGAAAGGAAUGCUAAUACCGCAUACGUCCUACGGGAGAAAGCAGGGGAUCUUCGGACCAUGCGCUAAUAGAUGAGCCUAAGUCGGGUUAGCUAGUUGGUGGGGUAAAGGCCUACCAAGGCGACGAUCUGUAGCGGGUCUGAGAGGAUGAUCCGCCACACUGGGACUGGGGCACGGCCCAGACUCCGACGGGAGGCAGCAGUGGGGAAUAUUGGACAAUGGGGGGAACCCUGAUCCAGCCAUGCCGCGUGUGUGAAGAAGGCCUUAUGGUUGUAAAGCACUUUAAGCGAGGAGGAGGCUACUGAGACUAAUACUCUUGGAUAGUGGACGUUACUCGCAGAAUAAGCACCGGCUAACUCUGUGCCAGCCGCCGCCGUAA